CCUACGGGUGGCAGCAGUGAGGAAUAUUGGUCAAUGGGCGAGAGCCUGAACCAGCCAAGUCGCGUGAAGGAUGACGGCCCUACGGGUUGUAAACUUCUUUUGCCAGGGAGCAAUUGAGGCCACGUGUGGGCUUAGCGAGAGUACCUGAAGAAAAAGCAUCGGCUAACUCCGUGCCAGCAGCCGCGGUAAUACGGGGGAUGCGAGCGUUAUACGGGUUUAUCGGGUUAAAAGGGUGCGUAGGCGGAAUAUCAAGUCAGCGGUAAAAAUUCGGGGCUCAACCCCGUCCUGCCGUUGAAACUGAUGAUCUUGAGUGGGCGAGAAGUAUGCGGAAUGCGUGGUGUAGCGGUGAAAUGCAUAGAUAUCACGCAGAACUCCGAUGGCGAAGGCAGCAUACCGGCGCGCAACUGACGCUGAGGCACGAAAGCGUGGGUAUCGAACAGGAUUAGAUACCCCGGUAGUC
This 460-nucleotide ribosomal RNA is filed under the name uncultured bacterium. RNAcentral's name for it is "partial 16S ribosomal RNA". It matches the Rfam family "Bacterial small subunit ribosomal RNA", at positions 338 to 795 of the family's 1533-position model. The record is from RNAcentral.